AGCGAAACAUGUAAGUUCUAUAAUUUAGGCAUACAAAUUUAUUUAGAAAAGCUAGCUGUAUUACAGGAGAAGUGCCCAAGGAAUCACCAAAUGAUGGAGAAAUAUCAAUCGAAAAGGAAGAUCUAGAUAAAGAAGGGGAUCACGACAUCCGAAAAGGAUGAUCCAAAUAAGGAAGGAAGUCACGGGAUCCAAAAUUAGGAGAGAGUGCUUCCUUUGCAAACUCAACACCUUCAAUGUACUGGAC
RNAcentral lists this long non-coding RNA (244 nucleotides) under Elaeis guineensis (African oil palm). Its description in RNAcentral is "long non-coding RNA (EGUI_LNC041697)". Lineage: Eukaryota; Viridiplantae; Streptophyta; Magnoliopsida; Arecales; Arecaceae. The record is from RNAcentral.